Molecule: ribosomal RNA, 257 nt
Filed under: uncultured bacterium
Lineage: Bacteria
Description: partial 16S ribosomal RNA
Rfam family: Bacterial small subunit ribosomal RNA
Source: RNAcentral
CCAAACCUACGGGGCGCAGCAGUGGGGGAUAUUGCACAAUGGGGGGAACCCUGAUGCAGCGACGCCGCGUGGAUGAAGAAGCGCCUCGGCGCGUAAAGCCCUGUCAGCAGGGAAGAAAAUGACGGUACCUGAAGAAGAAGCCCCGGCUAACUACGUGCCAGCAGCCGCGGUAAUACGUAGGGGGCAAGCGUUAUCCGGAUUUACUGGGUGUAAAGGGGGCGCAGACGGCGAUGCAAGCCAGGAGUGAAAGCGCGGGG